Picea glauca (white spruce) is the source of this 121-nucleotide non-coding RNA. Lineage: Eukaryota; Viridiplantae; Streptophyta; Pinopsida; Pinales; Pinaceae. The record is from Rfam.
ACAUGCCUAUAGCAUAGAAUUAAGACACUAUAUCCCAUUAGAACUUUGCAGUUACGCACUCUCAAGCUAGAGUAGUACUUGGAUGGGUGACUGCAAGGGAAGUCCUAAUAUUUUACAUGCC